RNAcentral lists this ribosomal RNA (301 nucleotides) under uncultured bacterium. Its description in RNAcentral is "partial 16S ribosomal RNA". It matches the Rfam family "Bacterial small subunit ribosomal RNA", at positions 509 to 807 of the family's 1533-position model. The record is from RNAcentral.
CAGCCGCCACGGUAAUACGAAGGGUGCAAGCGUUAAUCGGAAUUACUGGGCGUAAAGCGUGCGUAGGCGGUUUGUUAAGUCUGUUGUGAAAUCCCCGGGCUCAACCUGGGAAUGGCAAUGGAUACUGGCAAGCUAGAGUGUGUCAGAGGAUGGUGGAAUUCCCGGUGUAGCGGUGAAAUGCGUAGAGAUCGGGAGGAACAUCAGUGGCGAAGGCGGUCAUCUGGGAUAACACUGACGCUGAGGCGCGAAAGCGUGGGGAGCAAACAGGAUUAGAUACCCCUGUAGUCCCUGUCUCUUAUAC